Molecule: small nuclear RNA, 168 nt
Filed under: Xenopus laevis (African clawed frog)
Lineage: Eukaryota; Metazoa; Chordata; Amphibia; Anura; Pipidae
Description: U2 spliceosomal RNA
Rfam family: U2 spliceosomal RNA
About the family: U2 is a small nuclear RNA (snRNA) component of the spliceosome (involved in pre-mRNA splicing). Complementary binding between U2 snRNA (in an area lying towards the 5' end but 3' to hairpin I) and the branchpoint sequence (BPS) of the intron results the bulging out of an unpaired adenosine, on the BPS, which initiates a nucleophilic attack at the intronic 5' splice site, thus starting the first of two transesterification reactions that mediate splicing.
Source: Rfam by way of RNAcentral
AUCACUUGCCUUUUGGCUUCUGUUUAUCUAUAUCUCAAUGUUAAACACAUUUAACAAUGAAUUCACUUUAAGUCUUGUGAUUAUUAAUGAAUUAAUUUUUCGAAGGGGGAGUUCUGACUCCACGCAUUGGCCUGGUAUAGCAGUACCUCCAGGAUCGGUGCACCCUUC